This 2750-nucleotide unclassified non-coding RNA is filed under the name Leishmania donovani. Its description in RNAcentral is "gene:LdHU3.03.0080(CDS-product:DNA_primase_large_ subunit_putative)". Lineage: Eukaryota; Euglenozoa; Kinetoplastea; Trypanosomatida; Trypanosomatidae. The record is from RNAcentral.
CACAGAGGAGGUACGGCUGCACAGGCACGCACACGCGCACAGUCCUACAACUUCAACUGUGCGCGGCUCCGCACGCCGCUCCGUUUCAGAUAGAACGCAGUGCUCACACCGUAACACGCGUCCGACCAACCUACCUCCCUCAAGCAUAUACAGCCCGUCUUGUAUCCCUUUGCGCCCUCUCGCUCUCUGACCCUGCGUUCUCCUUUUGAGCCCCCCCCCUCCCACGCACGCACCACUACACCACUCCACACCAGUAAACCGUGAGCCAUGCAAGCCAUCACCGCCUCUACGCCGUCGCAGCAGUAUAGCGCCGGGGCAGGAAUAGAAAAGCCGCUCGGGGCCACGACAUCCGCGGACUGGAUGACCAUGUACGAGCAGAGGCCACAUGGAAACAGUACCCUUUUCGAGCUGGAGGCAAUGGUCGCCAAGCGCAUGGAGUUUCUCGCGUGGGUCGACCAGCAGAUCAACUCGCCUCAGGCAAAGAGCUUUGAUUCGGUGCUCGACGCGAUCAUCGCGCGUCUGCCGGAAGAACGGCGCUCGAGCGUGGCGACAGAUGCGUCGCGAGGGAAAAUGGUUUUGCUAGGUUAUGACGAGACGGCCGCCGGUGGCUGCUCGGAUAGGCGAUCCUCCUCACGUGGCUCUACUGGAAGCGCCGCUGGUUCCAGCCAAGCCGCUGGGAUUGUGUUCGCGCCGGAGGAGGAUGUCACAUCGCACCUGCUUUGCCGCUUCGCCUUCUGCAUGAGUGAGCACUGGCGGGACUGGUUGGUACGGACGGAGCGGGUGCUGCUGACGGCCCGCAUCAAGAUGGAGAUGGCGAAGAGACCCUUCACGUUUCUGGUCGAUUUGAUGAAGCGCAACGGACUUCCAUGCGCGCCGCUGACGGAUAAGCAGCUGGCUGACCCGAUGCUGCAGGAAUACCUCGAGUACCGCCGCGUGAAGGCGGAAAGCGCGCGCGAGUCGGAGGGGCGGGCGGAGAACUACUACGCCGUCCCUCUCUCCCUCGCCACCCGCCUGAUCAAGAAGCGGUACGUGCUGUGCCGUGCUGGUCAGACCAUUCUCUUCCGUGACCAGGUGCAAGAGGUCUUCCUGACGGUUUUCUGUGCCCGCCUGAAUCGCGGCCUGCACAAUGCCUACCUUGCUCGUGUCAAGCAGCAGGCGCUCGAGGAAGAGACCACAAAGUCCACCGUGAUGGCGAUGCUCGACGCCUUCCUGCAGCAGUUCAUCUCCGACCCGGUGGACACCUUGCAGGAGGGCGUCGCUGGCAGUGUGAAGGCCGGAGAUGUGCAGCGAUUGGCGCAGGCGCACUUUCCGCCUUGCAUGCGCGCCAUCGACUGGCAUCUGCGCCGCGAGGGGCACCUGAAGCACCACGGUCGCUUCAUGUACGGACUGUUCCUCAAAUCCAUCGGUCUUUCUCUUGAGGACUCACUGGAGCUGUUCGCCACGCUAAUGAAGGUCAAGGGCGGCGGUUCUGUCGAGGCCUUCGCGAAGACGGCGUACGGGUACAACGUGCGACACAACUACGGCAUGGAGGGCAAGAAGAUGAGCUACAGCUCCGCCUCCUGCGCGACGAUCCUUGGCCUGCCGCCGGUGGUGGACCAGCAUGACUGCCACGGCUGCCCAUUUCGUUUCCGCGACGAGGGAGCACUGCGGACGAUGCUUGGGAAGGAAACCCAAAACCCGAAGGGGUGCAACUAUCCCAGCGUGCGACCCACCCCAGGCGACAUCGAGGACAUCGUCUCCGACAGCAAGGCACAGCAUUACACGCGCGCAUGCUAUAAGUACUUCAUGGCCACCCACCCCGGCGCCCGCCGCGACACCCUCUUUCGGUCUCCAUACGAAUACUACAGCGUUAGCCUCGAGUUCGAGACGCCGAGCGACAGCACAGAGUCAGCGCGGCCCUCUGCAGUCCCCGGCAAGCGAACGUCUGUGGUGCUCAACGAAGACGUCCUGCGCCUCCGUACGUCUCCGUAGAGCGAAGAAGGUGGAGGCGAACGUGUAACGGAAGACAAGACACGAGUGUGCGCAAGUGAAAAGGAAGCGGGCAGGUACACAGAGAGACACACAUAGACGUCGACUCUUGUUGCGUCGUCAUCAUAGAGUGCAUUAGCGAGGCAGAGAGAAAGAGCGGCGCGAGAACUUGGUGCCUUGAUGGCCGCAUCCGCCCUGUAUUCUGGUAAUGCCCAUCUACGCCGACUGGAGAGGGAGGUGGGGGAAAGGAAAGGGCGAGGAGAAGGCCACUGGGCUGCGGCAGUGGCGGCUGGUGUUUGCGGGCUCGUGCAUAGUUGACUGUUCCCAUGCUUUGUCCCUUCGCCCUCGCCCCCCCACCCGUUAUUUCCGCCUCAUCAUCUCGCGUGCGGCGCUUUCUCGUCUGUCGUGGCGCGUAUCCUCCGCUUUACGCCACGGCUCCAUGAGCGUGGCUGUCCGCGUGGUGCGCUUCUUUGUUUUGGUUUGCUUCACGUGCCGUGCGGUACAAAGGCUGGACGGUGGGGUGUGAAUGGGGCCAAAAAACGCAAGGCUGGUGAAUAAGUGUUACCUUUCCCCGCCUUCUUCGCCCCUCCCCUCUCUCCGCGAGUGAUGCUGAUGUAUUGUCCUGUGUCUCUGUGUGUGACGGUUCGCACCCGUGUGCCAUCUUCCCGGCGCGGCAACGGGUACACACACGCACACACACACACACACACACACAGGUGCACGGGCGCAGACAUGAAGCGCACGCAGCAUCCACACGCAUACGAAAUUCUAUUCUGUUCGCG